Long non-coding RNA from Populus trichocarpa (black cottonwood), 450 nucleotides. RefSeq lists it as uncharacterized. Lineage: Eukaryota; Viridiplantae; Streptophyta; Magnoliopsida; Malpighiales; Salicaceae. The record is from RefSeq and is a predicted model, not a curated record. The transcript is spliced from 2 exons.
GUUUUCCUCAAGAAGCCACAGCCGUCCAAUAAUUGGCCAUGCAUAAGGUUGUUGGAGUGCCAAUAGUGCGUGACCAUACCCAAUGUGUGCCCUCCACUCUUCGCAUCUCUGCCAACUGCCACAAGUAUUAACGGCAACCUGCACAGAAACUUGAUUAAAUGAUCAGCAAUGAGCUGCUUUACAAGUCUGGGAAAAUCACAGAAGUACCUUUUCUGCUGUGGCUUUCUAGCCUUCUGUAGGAGUUUAAAGUAACAUUUCAGAAUAUUUGUUUCUAUUAAUCAGUAAUGUUUCUUGGUUGCCAGAUCACAUGAAAUACUUGUAUGGAUGGUGAUGAUGCAAUGACAUAAUGAAAGAUUAAGUGAAUCAGAAGUAGGAAAAUAAAUUCUCUGAUGCUUUUAAUCUUUUGUACACAUUGGAGUUGUAUACCAAUAGAAAUAAUCUGGUUUAUUU